RNAcentral lists this ribosomal RNA (52 nucleotides) under Passalora leptophlebiae. Its description in RNAcentral is "partial 28S ribosomal RNA". The record is from RNAcentral. Lineage: Eukaryota; Fungi; Ascomycota; Dothideomycetes; Mycosphaerellales; Mycosphaerellaceae.
GUUGACCUCGGAUCAGGUAGGGAUACCCGCUGAACUUAAGCAUAUCAAUAGG